Molecule: ribosomal RNA, 465 nt
Filed under: uncultured bacterium
Lineage: Bacteria
Description: partial 16S ribosomal RNA
Rfam family: Bacterial small subunit ribosomal RNA
Source: RNAcentral
GAUGAACGCUGGCGGCGUGCUUAACACAUGCAAGUCGAACGGAAAGGCUCCUGCUUGCAGGGGUACUCGAGUGGCGAACGGGUGAGUAACACGUGGGUGAUCUGCCCUGCACUUCGGGAUAAGCCUGGGAAACUGGGUCUAAUACCGGAUAGGACGAUGGUUUGGAUGCCAUUGUGGAAAGUUUUUCGGUGUGGGAUGAGCUCGCGGCCUACCAGCUUGUUGGUGGGGUAAUGGCCUACCAAGGCGUCGACGGGUAGCCGGCCUGAGAGGGUGUACGGCCACAUUGGGACUGAGAUACGGCCCAGACUCCUACGGGAGGCAGCAGUGGGGAAUAUUGCACAAUGGGCGCAAGCCUGAUGCAGCGACGCCGCGUGGGGGAUGACGGCCUUCGGGUUGUAAACUCCUUUCGCUAGGGACGAAGCGCAAGUGACGGUACCUGGAGAAGAAGCACCGGCUAACUACGUG